RNAcentral lists this ribosomal RNA (1372 nucleotides) under uncultured bacterium. RNAcentral describes it as "bacterial SSU rRNA". It matches the Rfam family "Bacterial small subunit ribosomal RNA", at positions 28 to 1381 of the family's 1533-position model. The record is from RNAcentral.
GAUGAACGCUGGCGGCGUGCCUAAUACAUGCAAGCCGAGCGAACGGACGAGAAGCUUGCUUCUCUGAUGUUAGCGGCGGACGGGUGAGUAACACGUGGAUAACCUACCUAUAAGACUGGGAUAACUUCGGGAAACCGGAGCUAAUACCGGAUAAUAUUUUGAACCGCAUGGUUCAAAAGUGAAAGACGGUCUUGCUGUCACUUAUAGAUGGAUCCGCGCUGCAUUAGCUAGUUGGUAAGGUAACGGCUUACCAAGGCAACGAUGCAUAGCCGACCUGAGAGGGUGAUCGGCCACACUGGAACUGAGACACGGUCCAGACUCCUACGGGAGGCAGCAGUAGGGAAUCUUCCGCAAUGGGCGAAAGCCUGACGGAGCAACGCCGCGUGAGUGAUGAAGGUCUUCGGAUCGUAAAACUCUGUUAUUAGGGAAGAACAUAUGUGUAAGUAACUGUGCACAUCUUGACGGUACCUAAUCAGAAAGCCACGGCUAACUACGUGCCAGCAGCCGCGGUAAUACGUAGGUGGCAAGCGUUAUCCGGAAUUAUUGGGCGUAAAGCGCGCGUAGGCGGUUUUUUAAGUCUGAUGCGAAAGCCCACGGCUCAACCGUGGAGGGUCAUUGGAAACUGGAAAACUUGAGUGCAGAAGAGGAAAGUGGAAUUCCAUGUGUAGCGGUGAAAUGCGCAGAGAUAUGGAGGAACACCAGUGGCGAAGGCGACUUUCUGGUCUGUAACUGACGCUGAUGUGCGAAAGCGUGGGGAUCAAACAGGAUUAGAUACCCUGGUAGUCCACGCCGUAAACGAUGAGUGCUAAGUGUUAGGGGGUUUCCGCCCCUUAGUGCUGCAGCUAACGCAUUAAGCACUCCGCCUGGGGAGUACGACCGCAAGGUUGAAACUCAAAGGAAUUGACGGGGACCCGCACAAGCGGUGGAGCAUGUGGUUUAAUUCGAAGCAACGCGAAGAACCUUACCAAAUCUUGACAUCCUUUGACAACUCUAGAGAUAGAGCUUUCCCCUUCGGGGGACAAAGUGACAGGUGGUGCAUGGUUGUCGUCAGCUCGUGUCGUGAGAUGUUGGGUUAAGUCCCGCAACGAGCGCAACCCUUAAGCUUAGUUGCCAUCAUUAAGUUGGGCACUCUAAGUUGACUGCCGGUGACAAACCGGAGGAAGGUGGGGAUGACGUCAAAUCAUCAUGCCCCUUAUGAUUUGGGCUACACACGUGCUACAAUGGACAAUACAAAGGGCAGCGAAACCGCGAGGUCAAGCAAAUCCCAUAAAGUUGUUCUCAGUUCGGAUUGUAGUCUGCAACUCGACUACAUGAAGCUGGAAUCGCUAGUAAUCGUAGAUCAGCAUGCUACGGUGAAUACGUUCCCGGGUCU